This 1760-nucleotide long non-coding RNA is filed under the name Monomorium pharaonis (pharaoh ant). RNAcentral describes it as "uncharacterized LOC118646306". The record is from RNAcentral. Lineage: Eukaryota; Metazoa; Arthropoda; Insecta; Hymenoptera; Formicidae.
AAUGUGCAAUAUUUACAGCAUCUAAUCUUCAAUAUUUAAUUCAAAAUUAAUAUCAAAAGGUAUUACAAUGAAUUUAACAAAUAUCGCUUUCACUAGACAUUUAAUAAAGAAUUCAAAAAAGGCACUUUGUUUGACAGAUUAGUUGCGUCCGUUGAAGAGUUAAGUAUCUCAUUGAUAAUAAUAGUGGUCAGAAACUCUUAAAUUAUUCCUACAUUAUAACGCACAAAUAUUGAAACAUACAAUAUUAUACAUUCCAUGUUUCAAUAUUUGUGCAUCAUAAUUUAGGAAUAAUUGGGGAAUAAUUUGAGUCUUUUGUGUACAAUUAUAUUUCUAAAUGUUCUAAACAUGUUACGACUGAAAUAUUUUUUUCAAUUAUUGCACAAUUUAUUUCUAAAUUUAAUUUUGCAAAUGUGCUGUUAAGAUAAUUCGCCAUAUCGCUAUUGUUAUGCCAACAUAUCAUUUUAAAAUUUAAUUGCGCAAACAUUUAUUAAUAUUUUAUAAAAAGUUAAUGUUUCUAUAUCUAUUUUCUCAAUUAUGCCCUCAUAAUGACGGAUUAAUGUGUGUGAAUCUUUUACAAUUCUCUUGUUAUACAAUUUUAUAAAUCUUUUCCUAUCGGAGUACAUGCUUUCAUAUUUGUUGACAUUUUGACACAUACUUUAUUGUUCAAACUAUAAAAUGCAGUUAUGAUAGGAUAUCAAACGUGGUGGUCAACGUUGAUGAUUCGGGGGAUAUCAAUCAACCACUGCCUGGAAACAGCGAUGAUAACACAGCUUCUUUGAGUCAGUUGUCAAUUGACGAAUAUUUGCCCACAAACGUUUCUGAGAAUAUCUUCAAGGAAGAAAAAGCUUUUCAUACAGCGUGCGCAAAAAGAUCCUACUUGGAUGGUAAAUAUUUUAAAGUAAAUUACAAACGAUCUACAUUUGACGGUAAUAUUGUAGCUGUCUGGAGACAUGUGUACCGGCGACAGCUAUAACUGGUAGGCUCACAAUAUCGUCGAACUAUACAACGCACUUAAGAAGACGACAUUCCUCAUUGUAUGGUCAAUACAAGAACUAUACAAAAAUUAAACGGCAGCGAUGGAGUAAAGAGGAACCACCUGCUUGUAAACGAACAACAUGUUCGUUCAACCAAGAACAGGUUGAUUGGAACAUUUUGUACUAUGUUCUAGAAAGUGGAGCGCCGUUACAAACUGUGGAGAUGCCAGCAUUUCGCAGAAUGCUUGAUGGUUUAAAAAUAAAAACAGGCGAUGCUUCCGUAAAACACAUGUCCAGGCGUACAGUCGGCUCGAAAAUCGACGCCAUAUACAAGAAGAAUUUGACGAAAAUUCGAAACGCGAUAUCCACAAACAAACAUUUUUGCACAACGGCGGACAUUUAGACGGCCAUGAAUCGGCGAUUUAUUGGCGUUAUAGUCCACAUUGGGUAUUUACAUUCUUAAUUCUUAAUAUAAAUCCUUUACAUCCGGAUUCCACGUUGUCCCGUUUUAAGGUAAAUCUUGCAGUACACAUAUUAAAUGAGUGUCUAUUUCUAACUUUGGUAUGUUAAAUUUAAAAAAAUCAAUUUUAUCGCUCAUAAAAGUUAUAGAAACUGUAUUCGUCAUUCUGCGAAUCAUUUUUUUUUCAUAAUGGUUUGCUGCGAUUCAUAAAUAAUCAAAAUAUCGCAAUUUAGUCGCUUAUUUAACAUUGUACCAUCGUAUAUUUGUUGAAGUUGUACAUAUAUUUUGUGUGGUGUGGCAAUUAUUAUUUACAGUAUCAUACAAUU